Rattus rattus (black rat) is the source of this 341-nucleotide long non-coding RNA. RefSeq lists it as uncharacterized. The record is from RefSeq and is a predicted model, not a curated record. Lineage: Eukaryota; Metazoa; Chordata; Mammalia; Rodentia; Muridae. The transcript is spliced from 3 exons.
CAAGAAUCAUUUUAUGUAGAAUUUAAGGCUCACACCAUGAGAUGGACCCCGUACCCAACACUGCUUUCAUGACCAAGAACCUGGGACUAGCUAGAUGAUAACCCGUGGGGACGAAGGAUCUUAAUCGAGGGCAACCGCCUAUAUCUGCAGGACUCGGUCACAUCAGAGGCCGGUGUGCAAAGGAUGGUUUGCGUGCCAAGCACCUAUCUGCUAGUCGUUCCUGGGUUUGGUUUUCUUAAAUAACUUAGGCUAAAGGUGCUGCCUUCAGAAAAAAAAUACCAUGGACAUAAACUUCAUUCCAAUUUUUAUAUUCUUUUUGAACUGCUGUACUGCUUUUUAAC